RNAcentral lists this unclassified non-coding RNA (220 nucleotides) under Hevea brasiliensis (rubber tree). The record is from RNAcentral. Lineage: Eukaryota; Viridiplantae; Streptophyta; Magnoliopsida; Malpighiales; Euphorbiaceae.
GUGUGAAGCAAGAAGUUGAACCAAAGACAGGAAUUUCCUUCCCUGCCAAGCUGAGUGAUGGGAAGCAGCUGGGUGCUAUGGGGUUGAGGAGGAAGAAGAUCCUUGCCCUAGGCAUCAACAUCUAUGCCUUCGGGAUUUAUGCUGAUGACAUUAUGCUGAAGGAGCUACUUAAAGCCAAAUUCAGCCAACCCCCUCAAAGCCCAACAAAAGAACUCUACGA